GAGGCUGGAGGAGAAGCAGAAGGUGGAGGAGCGACGGUGAGGAUGGAAGUGGACUUCCAUGGGAGCAAUGACAACCUACAAAAAGGCCUCUCUUUCCUUCUGGGAAAUUAAAGUCUCUGUCGAUGAAGGACUUUACGGCGCGGACUCUAAAAAGGAUAUUAUGUGGCAUCAUGACAAGUGUUGACGUCAACAGCAUGGAUAGGUGGUCUGUUCCUGUCUUUGGUUAUCUAGCUGUAUGAGUAUUAAAUACCUGUCAUAAAGCUAGAUAACCGAAUGUAGGAAUGACUUCCUUUAAAAUUGAAGCGGGUGAAAAAAAUGCAAAAAUAAAUGUGCUUUGGUGUCAAGGAUUUUCAAUUAGCGCCAUUCUUCCUGUAAAAGACAGAAGCAUUGUUCGAGGGGGUAAAAACGAGGACGGGGUCGCCUGCUCUGGGAUGCCAUCUGCGCCGCCAGCGAGAGACGGCGUGCCCAUGCCAGACGGCACACAAAGGCCUUGGCCCGUCGUCACGUUCUGGAGCCAUCUUGGGAGAUGUUGCUGGGAUAUCCAAAAUGGCUGGUGCUGACAUACAAGGAUGGAGAUGGCAAGCUGUGAAACUUCAGCCUGCAGACCUUGGACUAAACGCAUCAAAAAUCAUCACACAAUUAAUUGUCCAAUCAAUGUCCACAUUUUUUAUUUUACAUUUUAAUAAACAUGUUCCUUGUUUUUUUCCCUGCCUUUUAUUUUGUCAGUUUCUGUUUUUGUUUCUGCUUUUGUUUCCGGUUCCUACUCCUGCUGGUGUUGGGCGGAGUCUCACCUGUUACUAUUUGCAAUUUGUUUUCAGCCGUGCCGUUUAUAUUUUUUUAUAAUUGCCAGCUGAUGGAGUAUUUCUUCAAUUUUCCAUUGGAUUAAUAGUUAUUUUUGACUUCUACAUUUUCAUGCCUUAUUGAACCAGUACUGCCACCAAGAGGACAAUAAAUGCAACAACAAUAGGCAGCAGAAUUUGCACAUUUUCUGAUCAAAUACGUGGCAACACCUGAGAUGAGGCUGAUUGUAAGUAAGUAAAGGAAAGUCAGACAUUUGGCUCACUAACCUCCCAGUAGACUUCAUCGUCAAAGCAAUUGUCAUCAGCUGGAUCGCCCCAGAUAGUGUCCACGUACCAACCAUGAUGCCUCCACCUACACCAAAGCAGACGGCCACACAUAUGCCCGCGGCCUGGUGACCCCCCUGCCUCGUCGGUGUCAUGUCUUCAAAGUCACCAUCAAAGUCAAAGACUCGGACGCGGCUGCAGCAGUAAUGGCUCCCACAAUGCCACCGAUAAGACCAGGCAUGGCGUGAAGGUUGUGGAUUCCACACGUGUCCUGGAUCUUUAGGUGCUUCUCCAUGAAGGGCUACACAAGAAACAUUACAUCAGGACUAGACUAUAAAACAUUCCAAACAAGAUGUAAAAAAAAAAAAUAAAAAGCAGUGGUACUUCAAGUUCACAGGGAUGUAACGAUAGGAAAUAACACAAAUUAAUAGGCACAUUGUUAGAAAACCCACUAGUUUGGAUAUUUUUUGUUUUUUAUGCUUCACUGAUCAUGUUUAAGUCUUAUUAUUUAAUCAGUUUUUAUGUAAAAAGUGAACAACAAAUAAAAUAUAUUAUUAUUA
This is a non-coding RNA of Nerophis lumbriciformis (worm pipefish), 1624 nucleotides long. NCBI's taxonomy places the organism in Eukaryota, Metazoa, Chordata, Actinopteri, Syngnathiformes, Syngnathidae. The record is from RefSeq and is a predicted model, not a curated record.